This 254-nucleotide ribosomal RNA is filed under the name uncultured bacterium. Its description in RNAcentral is "partial 16S ribosomal RNA". It matches the Rfam family "Bacterial small subunit ribosomal RNA", at positions 524 to 776 of the family's 1533-position model. The record is from RNAcentral.
GACGAACCGUGCGAACGUUAUUCGGAAUCACUGGGCUUAAAGCGCGUGUAGGCGGGCCGGCACGUCGGCGGCUGAAAUCCCCCGGCUCAACCGGGGAACGGGCCCCGAUACGACCGGCCUGGAGGGGGGUAGGGGGAGCUGGAACUUCCGGUGGAGCGGUGAAAUGCGUUGAGAUCGGAAGGAACGCCCGCGGCGAAAGCGAGCUCCUGGACCCCACCUGACGCUGAGACGCGAAAGCCAGGGGAGCGAACGGG